AGAGUUUGAUCAUGGCUCAGGAUGAACGCUGGCGGCGUGCCUAACACAUGCAAGUCGAACGGGAGGUCUAUUUCGGUAGACUUUUAGUGGCGAACGGGUGAGUAACACGUUGGUGACCUGCCCCGAAGUGGGGGACAACUCCUCGAAAGAGGAGCUAAUACCCCAGAUGUUUAAGGGUUUAGACGCCAUAGACUAAAGUUUUUCGGAAUGCUUUGGGAGGGGCCUGCGGGCUAUCAGCUAGUUGGUGAGGUAAUGGCUCACCAAGGCGAAGACGGCUAGGGGGCGUGAGAGCGUGACCCCCCACAAGGGAACUGAGAAACGGUCCCUACUCCUACGGGAGGCAGCAGUGAGGAAUAUUGAGCAAUAGGCGCAAGCCUGACUCAGCAACGCCGCGUGGAUGAAGAAGGCCUUCGGGUUGUAAAAUCCUUUUCUGGGGGAAGAUGAUGACGGUACCCCAGGAAUAAGUUCCGGCUAACUACGUGCCAGCAGCCGCGGUAAAACGUGGGGGACAAGCGUUAUCCGGAUUUACUGGGCGUAAAGCGCAUGUAGGUGGCGCGGAAAGUUGGACGUGAAAGCUCCCGGCUUAACUGGGAGAGGUCGUACAAAACUACCGUGCUUGAGGUUGGAAGAGGAGAGC
This 637-nucleotide ribosomal RNA is filed under the name uncultured bacterium. RNAcentral's name for it is "bacterial SSU rRNA". It matches the Rfam family "Bacterial small subunit ribosomal RNA", at positions 8 to 662 of the family's 1533-position model. The record is from RNAcentral.